UGGGGAAUAUUGCACAAUGGGCGAAAGCCUGAUGCAGCAACGCCGCGUGAGUGAUGAAGGCCUUCGGGUUGUAAAGCUCUGUCUUUUGGGACGAUAAUGACGGUACCAAAGGAGGAAGCCACGGCUAACUACGUGCCAGCAGCCGCGGUAAUACGUAGGUGGCAAGCGUUGUCCGGAUUUACUGGGCGUAAAGGAUGCGUAGGCGGAUUUUUAAGUGAGAUGUGAAAUACCCGGGCUUAACUUGGGUGCUGCAUUUCAAACUGGGAAUCUAGAGUGCGGGAGAGGAGAAUGGAAUUCCUAGUGUAGCGGUGAAAUGCGUAGAGAUUAGGAAGAACACCAGUGGCGAAGGCGAUUCUCUGGACCGUAACUGACGCUGAGGCAUGAAAGCGUGGGUAGCAAACAGGAUUAGAUACCCUGGUAGUCCACGCCGUAAACGAUGAGUACUAGGUGUAGGAGGUAUCGACCCCUUCUGUGCCGCAGUUAACACAAUCAAGUACUCCGCCUGGGAAGUACGAUCGCAAGAUUAAAACUCAAAGGAAUUGACGGGGUCAAUAGCUG
RNAcentral lists this ribosomal RNA (558 nucleotides) under uncultured bacterium. Its description in RNAcentral is "partial 16S ribosomal RNA". It matches the Rfam family "Bacterial small subunit ribosomal RNA", at positions 355 to 932 of the family's 1533-position model. The record is from RNAcentral.